Zeugodacus cucurbitae (melon fly) is the source of this 642-nucleotide long non-coding RNA. RefSeq lists it as uncharacterized. The record is from RefSeq and is a predicted model, not a curated record. NCBI's taxonomy places the organism in Eukaryota, Metazoa, Arthropoda, Insecta, Diptera, Tephritidae. The transcript has 2 exons.
UAUUUUGGACAAACGCACGGAGUUAUUUAUGUAAACAUACAUAUACAUAUAUGUACAUUUGGAUGUGUGUAAUCCAUCUGUGUCAGAGAGAAGUCUGUGGUCAUUAGUUGCCUCUAAUGUCUUUACUUCUUUGUGGUUAAUGGUUUGGCAAACGACAGCGUGCACGUUGGAAUUUAAUGGUUACAAAUUUUUUCCGUCUUCAGGUUACGAUAAUUAAAUAUUAUUUUCCUCAGAACACAAUAAACCGAAAUUGCAGCAACACAAACGAAUCGAAUCGAACCGUAACGGGACAACACAAAAUAGCAACUGCCAUUCGAGGGCCACAAAAUUCCAAUUCAUGAAAUACAAUUCUGUUCUGAAGAGAUGAUCAAUCGCUGGGGCUGAUUGCACAGGUCUUCGUACAGCACGCUCUCUACAGCAAAUGUUGACAACACGCUCUUUGCGCUGGCAACAUGCUUCACUUGGUAUCUAAACACUGAGUCGAAACACCACGAUCACAUUAAAUAUAAUACGAAACAAGUUUAGCUGGUUCCCUCAAGACAAGUAAUGAUUAGAAGAACUCAAACUUAUGAAAUUUAUACAAAAAUAAUAAUUUAUUAAUAUAAUUUUAUUGACAAAUAUAUUACGUAAAAUUCAAUCAAA